UACAGAGGUCCCAAGCGUUGUUCGGAUUCAUUGGGCGUAAAGGGUGCGUAGGCGGCGCGGUAAGUCGGGUGUGAAAUUUCGAGGCUUAACUUCGAAACUGCAUUCGAUACUGCCGUGCUUGAGGACUGGAGAGGAGACUGGAAUUUACGGUGUAGCGGUGAAAUGCGUAGAUAUCGUAAGGAAGACCAGUGGCGAAGGCGGGUCUCUGAACAGUUCCUGACGCUGAGGCACGAAGGUCAGGGGAGCAAACGGG
RNAcentral lists this ribosomal RNA (253 nucleotides) under uncultured bacterium. Its description in RNAcentral is "partial 16S ribosomal RNA". It matches the Rfam family "Bacterial small subunit ribosomal RNA", at positions 524 to 776 of the family's 1533-position model. The record is from RNAcentral.